Molecule: long non-coding RNA, 406 nt
Filed under: Zea mays
Lineage: Eukaryota; Viridiplantae; Streptophyta; Magnoliopsida; Poales; Poaceae
Description: long non-coding RNA NONZMAT004392
Source: RNAcentral
UCAGCCUGCUGAUCCCGCUCGCGCUUUGUCUCCGACGGCUCCUGUUCACCGUCUGACACACCCGUUGAUAUGACAGCAUCGCAACAAUGAUAACGACCAGAAAGGAGGCUCGAAUUUGUAGUCAAGACAUAUUGUUCACAGGCGUGCAAGGAGCAGCGAUUCAUCACAGCCAUCUGUUUGCUGUGCAAAGGGAUCCAGCAGGGAUUGUAUUGCGUAUUUAACUUUGUCGUAUAACAGUGUAAUGUCUACAUUGUUACGCGCGGGUUGCAGAUGUGUGGUAGUAAUAGAUAGGGCCCGUACAAGAUAUACGAUGGAUGGAAAACAUGCUUGGAGAAAGUGGUCAUAGCAGGUGAUUGUCUGAGUGUUUUCGGUUCUUCUCUGCUCCCUCAGUCGCAAAAAAAAAAAA